CUCCUGACUGACCGAUAGUGAACCAGUACCGUGAGGGAAAGGCGAAAAGAACCCCUGUGAGGGGAGUGAAAUAGAUCCUGAAACCGCAUGCAUACAAGCAGUGGGAGCACCUUCGUGGUGUGACUGCGUACCUUUUGUAUAAUGGGUCAGCGACUUAUAUUCAGUAGCGAGGUUAACCGUAUAGGGGAGCCGUAGAGAAAUCGAGUCUUAAUAGGGCGUUUAGUUGCUGGGUAUAGACCCGAAACCAGGCGAUCUAUCCAUGAGCAGGUUGAAGGUUGGGUAACACUAACUGGAGGACCGAACCCACUGUCGUUGAAAAGCCAGGGGAUGACUUGUGGAUAGGGGUGAAAGGCUAAUCAAGCCUGGUGAUAGCUGGUUCUCCCCGAAAGCUAUUUAGGUAGCGCCUCGGACGAAUACCAUAGGGGGUAGAGCACUGUUUCGGCUAGGGGGUCAUCCCGACUUACCAAACCGAUGCAAACUCCGAAUACCUAUGAGUACUAUCCGGGAGACAGACUGCGGGUGCUAACGUCCGUAGUCAAGAGGAAAACAAUCCAGACCGCCAGCUAAGGCCCCAAAAUCAUAGUUAAGUGGGAAACGAUGUGGGAAGGCAUAGACAGCUAGGAGGUUGGCUUAGAAGCAGCCACCCUUUAAAGAAAGCGUAAUAGCUCACUAGUCGAGUCGGCCUGCGCGGAAGAUGUAACGGGGCUAAAACUAUGUGCCGAAGCUGCGGAUGUAUACUUUGUAUACGUGGUAGGGGAGCGUUCUGUAAGCCGAUGAAGGUGUGUUGAGAAGCAUGCUGGAGGUAUCAGAAGUGCGAAUGCUGACGUGAGUAACGACAAAACGGGUGAAAAACCCGUUCGCCGAAAGACCAAGGGUUCCAGUCCAACGUUAAUCGGGGCUGGGUGAGUCGACCCCUAAGGCGAGGCCGAAAGGCGUAGUCGAUGGGAAAAUGGUUAAUAUUCCAUUACUUCUGUGUAAUGCGAUGAGAGGACGGAGAAGGCUAAAUCAGCCUGGCGUUGGUUGUCCAGGUGAAAGGAUGUAGGCAUGUAUCUUAGGCAAAUCCGGGGUACUCUAUGCUGAGAUCUGAUAGCAAGCUGUACUUGUACAGCGAAGUGGUUGAUGCCAUGCUUCCAGGAAAAGUCUCUAAGCUUCAGUUACACAGGAAUCGUACCCGAAACCGACACAGGUGGUCAGGUCGAGUAGACCAAGGCGCUUGAGAGAACUCUGCUGAAGGAACUAGGCAAAAUGGUACCGUAACUUCGGGAGAAGGUACGCUGUUGUUGGUGAUGGAACUCGCUUCCUGAGCUGACGACAGCCGCAGAAACCAGGCCGCUGCAACUGUUUAUUAAAAACAUAGCACUCUGCAAAC
Molecule: ribosomal RNA, 1369 nt
Filed under: Acinetobacter baumannii
Lineage: Bacteria; Pseudomonadati; Pseudomonadota; Gammaproteobacteria; Moraxellales; Moraxellaceae
Description: bacterial LSU rRNA
Rfam family: Bacterial large subunit ribosomal RNA
Source: RNAcentral